Orussus abietinus is the source of this 1530-nucleotide long non-coding RNA. RefSeq lists it as uncharacterized. NCBI's taxonomy places the organism in Eukaryota, Metazoa, Arthropoda, Insecta, Hymenoptera, Orussidae. The record is from RefSeq and is a predicted model, not a curated record. The transcript has 3 exons.
GGUUGGGUCGGGCCGGUUGAUUAAAAAAACAUUCCUCAGACAGUGAAGGUGCAGUAUUUCUGGCCCGCUCAGUCGUUAAUGCCCAGCUCGACGUAACUUCGAGAGUAAUUAGGAAACGGUAACCGGAUUUUCAGGUUAAACUCCCCCGAGUGACCAUGCUGACCGAAGGGCAGAUCGUCAUCGCAGCUUCCAGAUUACCUCUUAACGCUAGAACAACCGGCAGAUUUUUUUUGUAUAGUAGUAUAGUAGUAUCUUGGUAGUUCUAGUGUUAAAAAGCCAGAGGAAGGUAAAAAGGAAACGAAAGUGCGAGAAGACAUUCUGUAGAGCACUUUGCAUGGAUUUCUUCGCACGAGUGUCUUCCCAUCGAGCAAGAACGAAGUGGUAACCCCAAGGAAAGCAGUCGCAUGGGUGCACUAUGGUGUCCGAUGAACAUUAGAGGUAUUUAGAUGUUACGUCGAAUGUAGAAAAGUAAUCGUGGAAAGAAAGAACGAGGGGAGAGCCUCGCGUCGAGACUACGGAAUAUCGAAAGUGUCAGCGAAAGGCUCAAGAGAUCCAAGGCCUGCGAAGGUAUUUUCUCCUCUGUAAAUCUUUGCGUUUCGACGUGUAAUUUUCAUACUUUAGCGAUUACUUCCCCGGGCCGUCCUCUUAGGGUUAGUUCCUUGGCUCGGCACGCCGUCGCUCGUGGUAACUUUCCAUUGAAAUUGCAAAUCCCAAACCAGUUUCAACGUUCACCCAGUUACUUGGUCAUCUGAUUUCCGCGUGUUCAGGGUUCAACGCACGAGAAGUCGAUGCGAGAACUGGAGAAGACCGAAACGAGAGCAGCCAUCCGAUGAGUGACCGAGGCUCUAAAUGAGCUACGAUCGCGAUGGAAUUAUCAACGAAGGACAAGCUUGGAAUCAAGAGAGCCUGAAGUCCCACGUAUUGCCAACGCGAAAUCCUUCGAGGACACCGGGAAGUAUGAAGUCCAAGUGAAUUUUGCGAAGAAGCGUUUAGCAUAUGUCAAGAGUGAGGAAGAUCGACGUUUGGAAAUUUAGGACGACCCGGAAAGGAAAGGAAGUGUCGUCCAAAAACCGACCCCUAGGUCAAGGUCCUCUUCAGAGCCGAGUUUCGCCCCGACGAUUCCGACAUCUAAUUUUAAUUUCAGCGUUUACUGGGAUCCCUACCUCGGGAAAAUUGAUAAUCCCGGGUCAAGAGUCGCCGGACUCGCCCACGGCCACCCACGAAGAGCCGACCCAACGUCUUCCCUCCGACGUCGCGUGGAAUCCUACCGGGCAGCACCCGCCUUUAAAACCGGAAGUCCGGCUAUUUCCAGACCCUAUCGCAUUCCGGUGCGGACCUAUUUUCGCCGGGGGUCGAAUCCCCUGCAAAGUGACCCGAGGAUGCUCUCCAAGACCUCGGCUUAGAUCUCGGAGGACUAAAAUCUCCGCUACACAGAAAGUCUUCGCAAACGUAACCUCCUUAAGGUGAAGUGAAACACGUCGAGGAACUUGAUCAACGUCGAUAAAGAAGAUUUUUCUAAAUGCCUACGUU